RNAcentral lists this unclassified non-coding RNA (331 nucleotides) under soil metagenome. RNAcentral's name for it is "partial contains 5.8S ribosomal RNA, internal transcribed spacer 2, and large subunit ribosomal RNA". The stretch from base 2 to 120 matches the Rfam family "5.8S ribosomal RNA", at positions 36 to 154 of the family's 154-position model. The record is from RNAcentral.
AAUGAAGAACGUAGCGAAAUGCGAUAAGUAAUGUGAAUUGCAGAAUUCAGUGAAUCAUCGAAUCUUUGAACGCACAUUGCGCCCCCUGGUAUUCCGGGGGGCAUGCCUGUUCGAGCGUCAUUUCACCACUCAAGCCUCGCUUGGUAUUGGGCAACGCGCUCCGCCGCGUGCCUCAAAUCGACCGGCUGGGUCUUCUGUCCCCUAAGCGUUGUGGAAACUAUUCGCUAAAGGGUGUUCGGGAGGCUACGCCGUAAAACAACCCCAUUUCUAAGGUUGACCUCGGAUCAGGUAGGGAUACCCGCUGAACUUAAGCAUAUCAAUAAGCGGAGGA